This is a vault RNA of 101 nucleotides. Its record names the gene Vault. It matches the Rfam family "Vault RNA". Rfam says of the family: This family of RNAs are found as part of the enigmatic vault ribonucleoprotein complex. The complex consists of a major vault protein (MVP), two minor vault proteins (VPARP and TEP1), and several small untranslated RNA molecules. The record is from Ensembl.
AUGCUGGGUAGCUCAGGGGAUACUUCAACUCUGUCACCGGAUGUCUAAUCUCCCAGUCCACAAGCCAGAGGUUCGAACCCCGGGCGCAGUCCAACGUUUUU